UCAAUAGAAACCAAAUAGAGGUCUAUUAUUGUUAAUAAUAUAAAUGAAACUUAUUCUCCUAUUGAA
This 66-nucleotide transfer RNA is filed under the name Aposthonia borneensis. Its description in RNAcentral is "tRNA-Asn". The record is from RNAcentral. Lineage: Eukaryota; Metazoa; Arthropoda; Insecta; Embioptera; Oligotomidae.